Molecule: ribosomal RNA, 358 nt
Rfam family: 5.8S ribosomal RNA (bases 1-105)
GAAAUGCGAUAAGUAAUGUGAAUUGCAGAAUUCAGUGAAUCAUCGAAUCUUUGAACGCACCUUGCGCCCUUUGGUAUUCCGAAGGGCAUGCCUGUUUGAGUGUCAUUAAAUUAUCAACCUUGCUCGCUUUUACUAGCUUGAGUUAGGCUUGGAUGUGAGGGCUUGCUGGCUUCCUUCCAGUGGAUGGUCUGCUCCCUUUAAAUACAUUAGUGGGAUCUCUUGUGGACYGUCACUUGGUGUGAUAAUUAUCUAUGCCUUGCGACUUUGAAGCAAACUAAUGGGAACCUGCUUAUAACCGUCUUCGGACAAUUAAUGACUAUUUGACCUCAAAUCAGGUAGGACUACCCGCUGAACUUAA